This 253-nucleotide ribosomal RNA is filed under the name uncultured bacterium. Its description in RNAcentral is "partial 16S ribosomal RNA". It matches the Rfam family "Bacterial small subunit ribosomal RNA", at positions 524 to 776 of the family's 1533-position model. The record is from RNAcentral.
GACAGAGGGUGCAAACGUUGCUCGGAAUCACUGGGCGUAAAGAGCGUGUAGGCGGCCGCACAGGUCCGUUGUGAAAACUGGAGGCUUAACCUCCAGACGUCGACGGAAACCGUGUGGCUAGAGUCCGGAAGAGGAGAGUGGAAUUCCUGGUGUAGCGGUGAAAUGCGCAGAUAUCAGGAAGAACACCAAUGGCGAAGGCAGCUCUCUGGGACGGUACUGACGCUGAGACGCGAAAGCGUGGGGAGCGAACAGG